Molecule: non-coding RNA, 121 nt
Organism: Triticum aestivum (bread wheat)
Lineage: Eukaryota; Viridiplantae; Streptophyta; Magnoliopsida; Poales; Poaceae
Source: Rfam
UCAGUACUCCCUCCGUCCGGAAUUACUUGUUGCGGAAAUGGAUAAAGAUGGAUGUAUCUAGAACUGAAAUACGCCUAGAUACAACCAUUUCUCCGACAAGUAAGGACGGAGGGAGUAGUAU